RNAcentral lists this ribosomal RNA (1879 nucleotides) under Entamoeba ranarum. RNAcentral describes it as "small subunit ribosomal RNA". It matches the Rfam family "Eukaryotic small subunit ribosomal RNA". The record is from RNAcentral. Lineage: Eukaryota; Evosea; Mastigamoebida; Endamoebidae.
CUGAUAUUAAAGGCUAAGCCAUGCAUGUCUAAGUAAAAAGUCCUAGAAGGAUGAAACCACGGACGGCUCAUUAAAACAGUAAUAGUUGAUUCGAUCUGUAAGCAAAAGGAUACCCUAGUGAAUGAUCAAAUUAAUACUUGAUAUUCUCCUUUGAGAGUGAAUCUUAGAGGCCCUUAGUAUGAAAAUAUUAAGGCAAGGAUAUUUCUUAGAGUAAGAAAUACCAGCUGUAAUUGAUGAGCAAGGUAUUGUUUUACUAGUGAUCGAAUUGAAUUUCUGAUCUAUCAAUUUGUUGGUAGUAUAGAGGACUACCAAGAUUAUUACGGAUGACGAGGAAUUAGGGUUUGACAUCGGAGAGGGAGCUUUCAAGAUGGCUACCACUUCUAAGGAAGGCAGCAGGCGCGAAAAUUACCCAAUGGGAGACCCUUGAGGUAGUGACGAUACAUAACUCAAGUAGGAGAUAAUCUUAUUUGAAGGAAUGAAUAAAGAACAAAGAUAUAUACUAAAUCGAUUAGAGGGCAAGUCUGGUGCCAGCAGCCGCGGUAAUUCCAGCUCUAAAAGUGUAUAUUAAAGUUGUUGUGGUUAAAACGCUCGUAGUUGAUAUAGACCGUUAUGAUGAGUUUGAAACUGUCCACGGUGUAAAACUUUGAACGGAACAAACAUCUAAAGUUAUAACAAAGGGCUAAAAGCUAUGUCAAAGUAGUUGUUAUAGAUUUCUUUGAAAAAAACAGAGUGCUCAAGGCGGAUGUUAAAUGAUGGAUGAGUGAGCAUGGUACAAGACUCAUAGGAGAUAGAAAUAUUUUGGAGUAAGAUUAGUAGGAUUUACCGGGGUGAUACAGAAAAUAAUGGGAGAGGUGAAAAUUCAUGAUCAUUAUAAGAUGUCCAAAAGCGAAAGCAUUUUACCAGGAUAGAUUCAUUAAUCAAGAACGACAGUUAGGGGAUCGAAGACGAUUAGAUACCGUCGUAGUCCUGACUAUAAACGAUAUGGACCAAGGAUUGAAUAGAUCAAAAGGUAUAGGAAUGAAAAUUUUCUAUACCACUAUUUUAAUAACCUUUGCAGGACUAUAGAGAAAUCAAGAAGUUCCUGCAUUUCAGGGGGAGUAUGGUCACAAGGCUGAAACUUAAAGGAAUUGACGGAAGGGCACACCAGGAGUGGAGCCUGCGGCUUAAUUUGACUCAACACGGGAAAACUUACCAAGACCGAACAUUAGAGGGAAUGACAGAUUAAGGGUUCUUUCAUGAUUUAGAGGGGAGUGGUGCAUGGCCGUUCUUAGUUCGUGGAGUAAUUCGUCAGGUUAAUUCCGGUAACGAACGAGACUGAAACCUAUUUAUUAGUAUUCUCCCUGUUAGGGAGAAUCGUAUGUGUAAGCAUACGCAAGAAACAUUGAUUUCUUAAAGGGACACGUUUUGAUAGAUUACUCUCGAGUUGGCAACCACAGAAAAUGUGGUACUGACCCAGGAGUCGUUUAAAGAAAGGGAAGCGUUCAGCAAUAACAGGUCUGUGAUGCCCUUAGACAUCUUGGGCCGCACGCGCGCUACAAUGGAAAAGGAAAAGAGUACAGUUGGAAGAUUACUUUUAUUGGGACGUUGUUUCGAUAAGAAUGAUACUAUUUGACUGACCGAUAUUGAAAAGUGGAGGGAAACUCAAAUCUUUGCACAUGACUGGGAUAGACGAUUGGAAUUAUUUGUCUUGAACGAGGAAUUCCUUGUAAUAUCAUGUCACUAGCAUGAGAUGAAUACGUCCCUGCCCUUUGUACACACCGCCCGUCGCUCCUACCGAUUGAAUAAAGAGGUGAAAUUCUAAGACAUCAAUCAGAAAUGAAUGAGGAAAUGGAUUUAAACCUCCUUAUUUAGAGGAAGGAGAAGUCGUAACAAGGUUUUC